RNAcentral lists this ribosomal RNA (427 nucleotides) under uncultured bacterium. Its description in RNAcentral is "bacterial SSU rRNA". It matches the Rfam family "Bacterial small subunit ribosomal RNA", at positions 355 to 774 of the family's 1533-position model. The record is from RNAcentral.
UGGGGAAUUUUGGACAACGGGCGCAAGCCUGAUCCAGCCAUGCCGCGUGCAGGAUGAAGGCCUUCGGGUUGUAAACUGCUUUUGUACGGAACGAAAAGGUGCCUUCUAAUAAAGGGCGCUCAUGACGGUACCGUAAGAAUAAGCACCGGCUAACUACGUGCCAGCAGCCGCGGUAAUACGUAGGGUGCGAGCGUUAAUCGGAAUUACUGGGCGUAAAGCGUGCGCAGGCGGUUUUGUAAGACAGAGGUGAAAUCCCCGGGCUCAACCUGGGAACUGCCUUUGUGACUGCAAGGCUGGAGUGCGGCAGAGGGUGAUGGAAUUCCGCGUGUAGCAGUGAAAUGCGUAGAUAUGCGGAGGAACACCGAUGGCGAAGGCAAUCCCCUGGGCCUGCACUGACGCUCAUGCACGAAAGCGUGGGGAGCAAACA